This 432-nucleotide ribosomal RNA is filed under the name uncultured bacterium. Its description in RNAcentral is "partial 16S ribosomal RNA". It matches the Rfam family "Bacterial small subunit ribosomal RNA", at positions 29 to 507 of the family's 1533-position model. The record is from RNAcentral.
ACGAACGCUGGCGGCAUGCCUCACCCAUGCAAGUCGCACGAGACCUUCGGGUCUAGUGGCGCACGGGUGCGUAACGCGUGGGAACCUGCCCUUAGGUUCGGAAUAACUCCCCGAAAGGGGUGCUAAUACCGGAUAAUGUCUUCGGACCAAAGAUUUAUCGCCUUUGGAUGGGCCCGCGUUGGAUUAGCUAGUUGGUAGGGUAAAAGCCUACCAAGGCGACGAUCCAUAGCUGGUCUGAGAGGAUGAUCAGCCACACUGGGACUGAGACACGGCCCAGACUCCUACGGGAGGCAGCAGUGGGGAAUAUUGGACAAUGGGCGAAAGCCUGAUCCAGCAAUGCCGCGUGAGUGAUGAAGGCCUUAGGGUUGUAAAGCUCUUUUACCCGGGAUGAUAAUGACAGUACCGGGAGAAUAAGCUCCGGCUAACUCCGUG